Sarcophilus harrisii (Tasmanian devil) is the source of this 54-nucleotide non-coding RNA. The record is from Rfam. Lineage: Eukaryota; Metazoa; Chordata; Mammalia; Dasyuromorphia; Dasyuridae.
AAAGUAGCUUAUGCAACAGCUAUGGACUGGUUCAUUGCUGUUUGCUAUGCAUUU